UGCCCAUCUUCUUUUUGAAGAUCCACUUACACCCUAUGGAUUUUAUCCCUUCAAGUGGAUCAACCAUUAUCCAUAUAUUGUUGAUUUUCAUGGACUCCAUUUUGAAUUUCAUGGCUUCCAACUAUUUAUCAGAGUCAGACCUCUGCAUCGCAUCCAUAUGGAUGAUCGGAUCCUCAUUGUUCUCAUCAAGUUCAACUGGAUCACCGUUCUAGACUAAAAAAUUAUAGUAUCUAUCCAGUUGAUGUGGUACC
RNAcentral lists this long non-coding RNA (251 nucleotides) under Elaeis guineensis (African oil palm). Its description in RNAcentral is "long non-coding RNA (EGUI_LNC056161)". Lineage: Eukaryota; Viridiplantae; Streptophyta; Magnoliopsida; Arecales; Arecaceae. The record is from RNAcentral.